This is a long non-coding RNA of Phocoena sinus (vaquita), 1850 nucleotides long. The record is from Ensembl. NCBI's taxonomy places the organism in Eukaryota, Metazoa, Chordata, Mammalia, Artiodactyla, Phocoenidae.
GAGCCGUCCGGCAGUCAGAGCAGGACUGGCGCGGCUCCUGCACCGGCGGACUCAGCCUCGGCUUCGGUGACCCUGGCGCAGCUCCUGCAGCUGGUCCAGCAGGGCCGGGGGCUCCCCGGCCUGGAGAGGCGCCACGUCGUGGCGACCCUCGGCGAACCCACGGCGUCUCGGCUCCCGCGGAGGCCCAAGCCCUGGGAGGCCUCGGGCUCCGCCGACGACCCCGUGCCGCCCUUCCAGACCCGGGGCCACAGGCCCGACGACUCUCCCUAUGGGCAGAGGACCCUCCUGGAAGAACCUGGCUCCGGGGAGACUGCGACAGCGCCUUCCUAGAUGGCACAUAGUGGGUUCCUGAGGCUCGAGGUCCUUUGCAGCUGUGAAUGAAAAAUGUUGCUGCCCUAUCUGCAAAGGACGCUGCAGCCAUCUAGCCAUCAGCCAGUGCUGCGGCCCCGUCGGCGAGCCCUAGGGAACCGAGGAUGGAGUCUACAGUUUUGGUGACCAUGGAGAGAACCAGAGCAGACUUCUCCUCUUCGCCUGAACUCUACGAGGAACCGGACCCUUGGUACUGGCAGAGGCUUCUUGUGCCCAUCCGCCUCCUUGGAGAGUUCAUACGAACUUGGGUGAGUCUCUCCUGGUUCUUGGAUCUCCUGAUUAUUGGUUGAUUAUCCUGAGUUUUAUUUGGCAGUGUCUAGCAGAUGCCUGGCUCCCCAGUUGAAAGACAUUGGGGAGUGACCUCCCUAGUUGAAAGAUACUAGGGGAGCACAGUUGUGAAAGACACUGGAAGAAAAUGCCCACCAGCUGAAAGAUACUGGGGGAACCUGGUUGGAAGACACUUGGAUUUGCUCAGUUGAGAAGAUAUUUGGGGACUUCCCUGGUGGUCCGGUGGUUAAGCCUCUGCGUUUCCGCUGCAGGGGGCACGGGUUCCAUCCCUGGUCAGGGAACUAAGAUGCCACACCGCGCGGCCAAAUAAAAAAAAAAAGUACUGAGCAGUCUGGGCUGAAUGUUUAGAUAAGAGGGUGACCCGAUGUUUUCCUCAAAUUGGCUACCUUAAUAAGAAUUUGUCAGGAUAAGAGUGCAAUAGUAAAUUUUAUCCCCAACGAAUUCAGCUUUAAAACGGGAAAUAGAUUCUCUCAAACAAAAACGAAGGGCAUCAGAAAACCAACCUCCGAUUAACACUCCAUCCAGAUUCAUGAAUGUACUGAGCUCAUACUUGCAAGUACCUACUUAAUUGGGAGUCAGAGGAAAUCUCACCCUGAAAAUGACUCAGAUUGGGCUCAUUUAUUGAAUACGCAGUUAAGUUACAAAAAGCCGGCUUGAUAAAAACAUCUUUUCAAAAUUCUGACCUUAAAAAAACAAAAACAAAUAAAAGCCCUUCCGGGGGAAGUUUAAUUUCUCUUUCUGUGUCUUUGAGAUGUAAAUGUUCUACUUGAUCUUCUUCCAGCCUUUUGCGUGUAUGGCUUUUGAGAACUUGGUCUCUGCCAUCCAAAAGGUGCACAUAUGGUGUACAUUUGGCAGCCAAUCAAAUAGACUGGGAUUCUGAGCAGUCUUUUGUCUAGCUGUACCAACUCUCGGGGAUUUUUUGCCAUUUUAACCUUCAUUUGCGUCAGCCUGUACAACAAAGGCCUUUACUUUCUUAGACUAUUUUUGGGAAUAAACUUUCUGGAUCUUGUUUAGGCAGCAGCCUUCACACUCUCUUGCGGGGAAUGCCUCUUGCAUCUUAUUGGUUUGAGUCACUAUUAAGAUACAUCUUAUUAAUGGCCAGAUGAUGGAGCCUUUAAAUUGGGAAAACUCUGAAUUGGUAAAGUUUUAGGGAGCUCUCAUUAUAACUAGCUGUUUUAUUAGUACCUACGAGG